RNAcentral lists this ribosomal RNA (335 nucleotides) under uncultured Nitrosospira sp. Its description in RNAcentral is "bacterial SSU rRNA". It matches the Rfam family "Bacterial small subunit ribosomal RNA", at positions 308 to 635 of the family's 1533-position model. The record is from RNAcentral. Lineage: Bacteria; Pseudomonadati; Pseudomonadota; Betaproteobacteria; Nitrosomonadales; Nitrosomonadaceae.
CCACACUGGGACUGAGACACGGCCCAGACUCCUACGGGAGGCAGCAGUGGGGAAUUUUGGACAAUGGGGGAAACCCUGAUCCAGCCAUGCCGCGUGAGUGAAGAAGGCCUUCGGGUUGUAAAGCUCUUUCAGCCGGAACGAAAUGGUUACGGCUAAUACCCGUGACUAAUGACGGUACCGGAAGAAGAAGCACCGGCUAACUACGUGCCAGCAGCCGCGGUAAUACGUAGGGUGCAAGCGUUAAUCGGAAUUACUGGGCGUAAAGCGUGCGCAGGCGGUUUUGUAAGUCAGAUGUGAAAUCCCCGGGCUCAACCUGGGAACUGCGUUUGAAACUA